CGUAGGUGCGAGCGUUGUCCGGAAUUACUGGGCGUAAAGAGCUCGUAGGUGGUUUGUCACGUCGUUUGUGUAAGUCCACAGCUUAACUGUGGGACUGCAGGCGAUACGGGCAUAACUUGAGUGCUGUAGGGGAGACUGGAAUUCCUGGUGUAGCGGUGAAAUGCGCAGAUAUCAGGAGGAACACCGAUGGCGAAGGCAGGUCUCUGGGCAGUAACUGACGCUGAGGAGCGAAAGCAUGGGUAGCGAACAGGAUU
Molecule: ribosomal RNA, 254 nt
Filed under: uncultured bacterium
Lineage: Bacteria
Description: partial 16S ribosomal RNA
Rfam family: Bacterial small subunit ribosomal RNA
Source: RNAcentral